Molecule: non-coding RNA, 299 nt
Organism: Paramuricea clavata
Lineage: Eukaryota; Metazoa; Cnidaria; Anthozoa; Malacalcyonacea; Plexauridae
Source: the annotation of a GenBank genome assembly
AGUUCAAAAUUUUGAUUAAUAUGGGAUUGGUCAUUGUUGUGAAGAUUAGGUUGCGUAUAAAACUUGAUGUUUAGCGCAAUUGAUCAUGGUGUUGUUUCCACAAACUAUAAUAUAGUAAUAUGUACGUACAAAAAGACACGAUGCCGACUGAUGAUGUCGGCGACGAUCGAAAGCUAUGACUGGUAUACACGUUUAUAAUAAAGUGUUUUUUAAAACAGUAGUUCCUGGCCCCAUUUGAUUCAUACUUCUCUCUACAAAUAUGCUACUGAAGGGCAACUAUAUCCGUUCGAAUAACCAAG